This 253-nucleotide ribosomal RNA is filed under the name uncultured bacterium. Its description in RNAcentral is "partial 16S ribosomal RNA". It matches the Rfam family "Bacterial small subunit ribosomal RNA", at positions 524 to 776 of the family's 1533-position model. The record is from RNAcentral.
UACAGAGGGUGCAAGCGUUAAUCGGAAUUACUGGGCGUAAAGCGUGCGCAGAUGGUUGCGUAAGUCAGAUGUGAAAGCCCCGGGCUUAACCUGGGAACUGCAUUUGAUACUACUGAGCUUGAGUACGGGAGAGGAUAGUGGAAUUCCCAGUGUAGAGGUGAAAUUCGUAGAUAUUGGGAAGAACACCGGUGGCGAAGGCGGCUAUCUGGACCGUAACUGACGCUGAGGCGCGAAAGCGUGGGGAGCAAACAGG